Molecule: ribosomal RNA, 253 nt
Filed under: uncultured bacterium
Lineage: Bacteria
Description: partial 16S ribosomal RNA
Rfam family: Bacterial small subunit ribosomal RNA
Source: RNAcentral
UACGAAGGGGGCGAGCGUUGUUCGGAAUCACUGGGCGUAAAGCGUGCGUAGGCGGCGAUGAAAGUUAGAAGUGAAAGCCCAGGGCUCAACCUUGGAAUUGCUUUUAAAACUCCAUCGCUCGAAUCUCGGAGAGGAUAGCGGAAUUGUCAGUGUAGCAGUGAAAUGCGUAGAUAUUGACAGGAACACCAGUGGCGUAAGCGGCUAUCUGGACGAGUAUUGACGCUGAGGCACGAAAGCGUGGGGAUCAAACAGG